GUAUAUUUUGGUCACGGAUUUGUUUGCUAGGCGAUCGAACUCAAAGGAAGUCAGGCUUAAAAUCCAGUCUACUUUGCUUGAGAAAAGGGUCAAGUCACGUUUGUGAGUGACCUUUACCUUGAUAGGGACCAGGUAUCAAUAUAAAUACAGAAAGCCAAAGCGGCUUCUUUAAAGUUUAAACCUUUACUAGCGCUUUGAGCACAAUUUCUUAACUCAAGUCUAGUCAAAAUGUGCAUGAAAGUGAAAUGCAGCAAAUGCGGAAAAUUUACUUGGCAAGGAUGUGGCCAACAUGCAGAACAAGUAUUGGCAGGUGUUCCUCCAGACCAGAGAUGUAAAUGUCCUAGGAAAUAAAUAGUUUUUAGACAGAUUUAGAAGUUGGCAGCUCAUGAUGAUUAUUUUAACUUUUACCUCAAGCACUCCAGCAACGCACCGUAUCAUGUUAAGUGCAAAACAGAUCUGAUAUAUGAUUCUUAUUUUUUCCAAGUCACAAUAGAACUUAGAACAGAGAUCAAUUUAGAUACCAAUAUCAUCAAAUCUGUUUAAACAAUUUACAACAGCCUAUUUAUUAACAUUUUAAAAGAAAACAAAUGUAAAUAAACAUUUUGCGUCCUUAUA
This is a long non-coding RNA of Biomphalaria glabrata, 615 nucleotides long. RefSeq lists it as uncharacterized. Lineage: Eukaryota; Metazoa; Mollusca; Gastropoda; Planorbidae. The transcript is spliced from 3 exons. The record is from RefSeq and is a predicted model, not a curated record.